UACGGAGGGUGCAAGCGUUGUCCGGAAUCAUUGGGCGUAAAGAGCGCGUAGGCGGCCCUGUAAGUCCGCUGUGAAAGUCAAGGGCUCAACCCUUGGAUGCCGGUGGAUACUGUCGGGCUAGAGUGCGGGAGAGGCGAGUGGAAUUCCUGGUGUAGCGGUGAAAUGCGCAGAUAUCGGGAAGAACACCCGUGGCGAAGGCGGCUCUCUGGGACGGUACUGACGCUGAGACGCGAAAGCGUGGGGAGCGAACAGG
RNAcentral lists this ribosomal RNA (253 nucleotides) under uncultured bacterium. RNAcentral's name for it is "partial 16S ribosomal RNA". It matches the Rfam family "Bacterial small subunit ribosomal RNA", at positions 524 to 776 of the family's 1533-position model. The record is from RNAcentral.